ACCCUCCAGAGCCCCUGCCCGUCAGAACCAAACCCUGGUGUGAGUGGUUAUAAAAGGAGGAAAAGUGGAAGUGGAACCAACUUACACCUUGCUCACGGCACCUGGAGUGUGUCAAAGUGGA
This 121-nucleotide small nucleolar RNA is filed under the name Echinops telfairi (small Madagascar hedgehog). RNAcentral describes it as "Small nucleolar RNA SNORA61 (ENSETEG00000026724.1)". Lineage: Eukaryota; Metazoa; Chordata; Mammalia; Afrosoricida; Tenrecidae. The record is from RNAcentral.